GGGGACGUUCCACUGCACAAGGACAGCGAGGGUGCUAGUUGGGGAACGCAUAGCCACCGAUCCCAGGCGCCGGGCCAAGUCGCCCGCUGAACGUCUUCUACUGGAGGCGAAUUCGGGCGCAGCGACGGGGGGCAGGGGCAACUAAGUUAUCCGGUUAAGAAACGUGCACUCGCACUGGACUCUGCUAACUGCUGACGACGGACUCCGCUUCUUGCCUGAGAGGGAGGAAGCACGAACGUUCUGUAUGUAACGAAAUGAGGACGACUGUUUCAAAGCUACUCAAAUAUUGUUGUGUUAAAGAGUAUUUACACUGAUCUCAUUGUAUCAUUUAGCUUCAAAGCUCAAAAUUCUGCUUUACUUAGAUAAGAGCUUGAAGUCCAAAUCUACACAAGUCAGAACCUAUGCAAGAAAAGCACCAUCGGUAGAAAUGAAUACACUUUGAAUGCCAUGGACCACCCUGUCUUCAGAGCAUGUCUGUUUGCUGACAUAGUUGGCUCCCUCAUAGCCCUUUAAAAAAUUGUCACGUAAAAAUGUGGGCGUUGCUGAAGGUUUUUAUUAAAACAUUAGAAGUCUAUGUGACAUUAUUUAUUAUUGUUAUUUGAAUUCCUCUAAGAAAAUUAAGCUAUCUGUUAGGACUUAGGGCCAUGGUGGAGGCAAGGUUUCUGGAAAAGUAUUAACACGGUGAAAGUAUUAAUAAAGGGAAACAGAUCAACUCUGGGCCCCUCAGCUCACUACUGCUCAGAGGCUCAUUUCUGCCUUUGUUCCCCCUUUCUAUUACUCUAUUGUUUAACAGCUUACCCCCUCAUAGUCCAUCCGUUUGAUUAUAACACAAGGUUUUCAUGUUUCACCGUGUUAGUCAGUAUGGUCUCUAUCUCCUGACCUUGUGAUCCACCCGCCUUGGCCUCCCAAAGUGCUGGGAUUACAGGCGUGAGCCACUGCGCCUGGCCACUUCAUUUCUUAAAUAGUUUCCAAAUAUGAAAUGCUGGUAAAUGUUGAAUCUCAUAUAGCUACAUUUUAAAUAACUAAAACUGUGUAAAAUUGGCCAGAAAUGAUAUAAAACCUGAAUGACUAAUUAAAAUAAGUCCUCUUUAGUGGUUUACAUAAAAUACAGCUCAUCAUAAUAUUGUCAGGACAGAAUAGCAAAUGGAAAGAUAAUUUUUUUGGUUAUUCAAAUACUAAAUUUUCAAUACACAACAAUGUAGUAAGCAAGUGGAAGAGGAAAUGUAUUUAUCCCUUGGAUAUCUAUUGAUACAUUGUUAUUUGAAAUGCUAAUACACACCCAUGUGUGCACACAAAUUGCUCUUUUAGACAACUAUUUCUCAAACUCCUUUUUCCAAUAACAAUAGUCAAGGUGGACAGUAGAGAGAAUGGCAGCAGCACAUUUUGAGGAUAGACCUAGAAGCCUGUUGCCAGGGACCCUAUUGCAGGCUCUGCUAGUACUAGGUAUGUAUACCACUUGGCUGUGGGCCAACAUAUUGCACCUCUCAAAGUCUCUAUCUUUCUAUCUGUGAAAAGAGACUGUUGGAUUAGAUACCUCAGAGCCAAAGUCUAUAAUUUCAAAAGAGUUGUGAAAACAUACGCUGUAAUGUAGGAAGCAUCAUCAAUAGUUUGAGAAAUGCUGAGGACCACAAUACUAUUUAAUAACAUAUUGUGGCCAACAGGCAUACUUAUUUUUGUGUAACCUCCCCCAAAUGGUCUCAUAUUUAUCAGUUUUGUGUACUUGAAAAAAUAAUAACUGACACAAACAGAUUGACAGCACGAGAUAUAAAAAUCACCAAUACCUGGAGCUUCUUUUCAUUUAUUUACUUUUGUAUCUGUAACAAUGACGUCGGGUGUUUGGUUCUGGCUCAGAUGUGCCACAGGCCCCCAGAGUCUCUUUGAAGAUGUUGUCCUGCAAAACAAGACUAGAACUCUCCCAUUUUAUGGCUUAAUACUAGAAAUCAAGAGACCUUGGGUGAUUUUUUAAAAAACCAAAACCACCUGAGGCAUGAUUGGGAUACUCACAUUUAGAUGUACUUCUAAAAGGAGAACUUUGGAUUCAUAGAGCAUCAUGCCAAGGAAAACCUACCACUGGGGGUACAGAGCAAGCCAGAAGCAGCCGUAGGAGAGUCCCCCAAACCUUUGAAUAUUCUUUGGACUACUGGAGAAAGAUCUAAUUUUUCUGUUGAUUUCUCUUCAAUUGUGUGGGAUGUGUAAUCUGGAGAGAAAUAGGGUAUAUACCACUGAAAAUCACAAUUUAAAAUACAGCCUUGUUAAAAAUCAGGUUGGGCUUUGCCAUUUUUGCUGCAUUCAUUGCAAACAUUUUAAAUGCAGUAAUGGUACAUUAAUCAGGUAGGAACAAUUCUCUACUGUCAUAUUGUACUGUUGUAUUAGUUUGUUUUCACAUUGCUGAUAAAGACAUACGUGAGACUGGGCAAUUUACAACAGAAAGAGGUUUAUUGGACUUACAGUUCCGCAUGGUUAGGUAGGCUUCACAAUCAUGGCAGAAAGCAAGGAGCAUCAAGUCAGGUCUUACAUGGAUGGCAGCAGGCAAAAAAAGAGAGCUUGUGCAGGAAAACUCCCCCUUAUAAUAACCAUCAGAUCUCAUGAGACGUAUUCAUUAUCACGAGAACAGUAUGGGGAAACUGCCCUCAUGAUUCAAUUACCUCCCACUUGGUCCCUCCUACAACAUGUGGGAAUUAUGGGAGUACAAUUCAAGAUGAGAUUUGGGUGGGGACACAGAGCCAAACCAUAUUGACUGUCAACCCUUUCAAUGGAUUAUUCCUAAAGACCCUGCCCUGUCUGUUCCCUCCAUUCCAGCCCAUAUGCAGGCUUUCUGAAAUAUCGUUACCACUUUACAGAUCUUUGCCCAAUUUUGAACUCAGCAUUGAUCAAGUCUUUUUUUUUCCACCAGACUAUUCUUAUUUUCCAAGAACUCACCUCAUUUUCCUCUAGUAUUUACAUAUACUCUCACAUUUGCUAUAACUAAAAAUUCAGAUACUUGGGAAAUUUUAGUUUCUCAGUAUGCACCCACUUCUAAAUCACUGUGAUUCAGUUGGUCCUACCUCCAAUUCCUAUAGCUUUCACCAACUUGUAUCUUUUCCUUAAAUAACCUAUCUCUGUUUUUCCUUCAGUUGAAAAUUCUCAGCUGAUUUUUAUUAUUUAAGCCAUCUUAAAUUAAUAUAGUGAAG
This 3170-nucleotide long non-coding RNA is filed under the name Homo sapiens (human). RNAcentral's name for it is "HSALNT0399785". Lineage: Eukaryota; Metazoa; Chordata; Mammalia; Primates; Hominidae. The record is from RNAcentral.